AUUGAACGCUGGCGGCGUGCUUAACACAUGCAAGUCGAUCGGUAACAGGUGUAGCAAUACAUGCUGACGAGAGGCGGACGGGUGAGUAAUGCUUGGGAAUCUGCCUAUUAGUGGGGGACAACCCGGGGAAACUCGGGCUAAUACCGCAUACGCUCUACGGAGGAAAGCCGGGGACCGCAAGGCCUGGCGCUAAUAGAUGAGCCCAAGUCGGAUUAGCUAGUUGGUAGGGUAACGGCCUACCAAGGCGACAAUCCGUAGCUGGUCUGAGAGGACGACCAGCCACACCGGAACUGAGACACGGUCCGGACUCCUACGGGAGGCAGCAGUGGGGAAUAUUGGACAAUGGGGGCAACCCUGAUCCAGCGACGCCGCGUGGGUGAAGAAGGCCUGCGGGUUGUAAAGCCCUUUCGGUGGGAAGAAAAGUCUCGACCUAAUACGUCGGGACCUUGACGUAACCCACUAAAGAAGCACCGGCUAACUCUGUGCCAGCAGCCGCCGCUGU
This 502-nucleotide ribosomal RNA is filed under the name uncultured bacterium. RNAcentral's name for it is "bacterial SSU rRNA". It matches the Rfam family "Bacterial small subunit ribosomal RNA", at positions 29 to 524 of the family's 1533-position model. The record is from RNAcentral.